RNAcentral lists this long non-coding RNA (2424 nucleotides) under Sinocyclocheilus grahami. RNAcentral describes it as "lncRNA (ENSSGRG00000011659.1)". Lineage: Eukaryota; Metazoa; Chordata; Actinopteri; Cypriniformes; Cyprinidae. The record is from RNAcentral.
GUUGCUGUUUUGUUUCUUUAAUGUUGGCUGUAUUUUGGAUUGCUUCGAUCCAAGUUAGCUUGAUAGAAUAUGUUACGCCAUAGAAUACUCAGUAAGAAUAAUGUGUUGGUUUGUAUUGUAAUGUUACUUUUGUCCAGUACAGUAAGCUAAUGGACAUUUUAUUUCAGUGGAGAUUUUUUUGUUGUUGUUGAGAUUUUUUGAGUUAAGUUUUUUCAUGCCCAAAGACUGUCCAUUUUGACUUGUCAGCAUGUUUGCGUGUCAGUUAUGUCGGCAGCAAUGCAGUACUCCAGUGGCCUAUGUGAAGCACAUGAGGAUUCACAGCAAUACCCCUAACUUGUUUCUUCAUUGCUGCAUCCAGGACUGUAACAGGAAGUUCGCAAAAUUAGCAGCUUUGAAAUCACAUCUUUACAGACACCACAGUGAGUGUGUGGUGGUGCCUAGAUCACAUUUGUACCCUGCAGUAGACCUUGCAUGCCAUGUUGACUUGUGUAGUGCCAAAUGUGAUACACUAACUCAGUUUUAUUCCCAUCUUAAAGUGCACAUUAAAGAGGGACAAAGAGUGACAUGCCCCUUUCAGCAGUGUGAUAAAUCAUUUUCAGUGAUAUCCACCUUUACCUCUCACGUAUCAAGGAAGCAUAAAAACUCAACAGAGGUAAACCUAAGUGAAUCCAUUGUUGCCACAUCACUUGUGACUGAAGCUGAAAGUUUUCAAAAUAUUGACAGUGAUAUGAUGACAGAAGAACAUACUGGUGUAGUUGGAAAUAGUGAGAAUUUGGAGGUUAGUCCAGAAAAUAUCGAUGAGACAUUAUUUUUGAAGAAUCUUGCUCUCUUUUAUCUGAAAUUACAGGCCAAGUUAUUGCUUCCAUCUUCAGUCAUUCAGACGAUCAUUGAAGACAUGCAGUCAGUUUAUGAUGUCAACCAGUCACAUCUACUUUUCAAACUAAAUGAGAAAUUGGUUGCACUUGGGGUUCCAGAGGCUUCCAUUAAUGAUGUCAUGGACAGUCUGAAAGCAGACGAUCUCUUACGAGCAUGUAAUAGCCACACACUAAAAACAGACCAGCGCAGGAAAACAGUGUUCAAGAACAGUUUUAAUUAUGUUGAUUCUAUGCCCAUUUGUCUAGGACAUAACGAAGCUGGCAAAGAGUGUUUUUUACAGUAUGUCCCUGUAAAACAGACGAUUGAGGCCCUUUUUCAUUGUGAGUCUGUGUGGAAGCAGUACAGAGAAGUACACAGCCGUAUCCAGUUGAAGGAUAUUUUUGAAGAUGUGUGGGAUGGUGAAAACACCACAAAAAACUUGGCCCAGACAGAGAGGUCAUCUUUAGGCUUGAUACUUUAUCAAGAUUCAUUUGAAGUUGUUAAUCCCCUGGGGUCAGGAAAGAAAAAACACAAAAUACUAGCUAUGUAUCUCACACUUGCAGACCUAUUGCCACACAACCGGUCAAGUAUUGACCAGAUGCAACUGGUUUUUCUGUGUAGAGAACAAGAUUUCAAGUAUUUUGGUCAGGAAUUGGUCAUGGGAUGCUUGAUGAAAGACCUUCAAGACCUUGAGACUAAUGGCAUAGUGCUACCUGAUGGACAGGUAUGCAGAGGAAUCUUGCGAGCCAUUUGUGGAGACAACCUGGGUUCACACAACAUCGGAGGUUUUCUUGAAAAUUUCAGUGGCAGUAGGUACUUCUGCCGAUAUUGUGAAAUUGACAAAGAUGUGUUUCACGCAGAUCCUUUGUCCAAAGCUAACACUCGGACACCAGAGUCAUACAAAGAGCAUGUUCAGAACCUCGAGGAACAUUCUGUUCAUAGUAGAGGUAUUAAAUUUGACUCCUUAUUCAACAGCCUGUCUAUGUUUCAUGUAUGUCAACCUGGGUUGCCUCCGUGUCUUGGGCAUGAUUUGUUUGAAGGCGUUGUUGCCUCUGAUCUUGCAUUGUGUAUCAACCAUCUUGUCACAGUUGACAAACAGUUCACUUACACUGAAUUAAAUCGGAUGAUUGAUCAAUUCCGAUAUUUAGGUAAUGAUGCAAAUGACAAACCUUGUGAGGUGAAGCCAGGAAGUGAUAGACUGAGUGGCCAUGCUAUGCAGAACUGGUGCUUCCUGAGACUGCUACCAGUGUUGAUCAAAGAGAAGAUUACAUCUCCUGCUGACAAUGAGAUAUGGCAACUGGUGUUACAACUAAGAGAAAUUGUGGCAUUGAUUUGUGCACCAGCAAUUUCUGCUGACCAGAUAGGCUAUUUAAGGGUCCUUAUUGAAGAAUACUUGCAUUCCAGAAAACAAGCCUUUCCCCAUCAUCGGCUUAAACCUAAGCAUCAUUACAUGAGUCAUUAUCCAGAGCUCAUCAUUCAGUUCGGUCCACUUAUUCGUUUGUGGACUAUGAGGUUCGAAAGCAAGCACACAUACUUUAAACANNNNNNNNNNNNNNNNNNNNNNNNNNN